AUACGGGGGGUGCAAGCGUUAUUCGGAAUCACUGGGCGUAAAGGGCGCGCAGGCGGUUUGGUAAGUCAGAUGUGAAAGCCCGGGGCUCAACCCCGGAAGUGCAUUUGAUACUGCCUGACUUGAGUAUGGGAGAGGGAAGUGGAAUUCCUGGUGUAGAGGUGAAAUUCGUAGAUAUCAGGAGGAACACCGGUGGCGAAGGCGGCUACCUGGACCGAUACUGACGCUGAGGUACGAAAGCGUGGGGAGCAAACAGGAGUAGAAACCCUAGUAGUCC
This 274-nucleotide ribosomal RNA is filed under the name uncultured bacterium. RNAcentral's name for it is "partial 16S ribosomal RNA". It matches the Rfam family "Bacterial small subunit ribosomal RNA", at positions 523 to 796 of the family's 1533-position model. The record is from RNAcentral.